AAAAAGAGGAGUGGCGAACGGGUGAGUAACACGUGGGUAACCUGCCCAUCAGAAGGGGAUAACACUUGGAAACAGGUGCUAAUACCGUAUAACAAUCGAAACCGCAUGGUUUUGAUUUGAAAGGCGCUUUCGGGUGUCGCUGAUGGAUGGACCCGCGGUGCAUUAGCUAGUUGGUGAGGUAACGGCUCACCAAGGCCACGAUGCAUAGCCGACCUGAGAGGGUGAUCGGCCACAUUGGGACUGAGACACGGCCCAAACUCCUACGGGAGGCAGCAGUAGGGAAUCUUCGGCAAUGGACGAAAGUCUGACCGAGCAACGCCGCGUGGGUGAAGAAGGUUUUCGGAUCGUAAAACUCUGUUGUUAGAGAAGAACAAGGAUGAGAGUAACUGUUCAUCCCUUGACGGUAUCUAACCAGAAAGCCACGGCUAACUACGUGCCAGCAGCCGCGGUAAUACGUAGGUGGCAAGCGUUGUCCGGAUUUAUUGGGCGUAAAGCGAGCGCAGGCGGUUUCUUAAGUCUGAUGUGAAAGCCCCCGGCUCAACCGGGGAGGGUCAUUGGAAACUGGGAGACUUGAGUGCAGAAGAGGAGAGUGGAAUUCCAUGUGUAGCCGUGAAAUGCGUAGAUAU
Molecule: ribosomal RNA, 626 nt
Filed under: uncultured Bacilli bacterium
Lineage: Bacteria; Bacillati; Bacillota; Bacilli
Description: bacterial SSU rRNA
Rfam family: Bacterial small subunit ribosomal RNA
Source: RNAcentral